AAACGCCAAUAACCAUUAUAUCCUGGUCUAAAAGUCGGCUUCCGCGUAUAGUUGCGUUGCCUUUUGCAAGAAUUCAGGCUUUUUUGCCAAUGGAACCGUAGGUGGUUUGACUACCAAAAAGGUGACAUUCCCGGAAACAAUGCGCAGUAGUUUCAGUAGAGCUUUGGCCCAGGCAUCCGAAUGCCAAAGCGAGGCUAUUUUGCGAAAGUAUGAAGCUCAAAUGCCAAACGAAACAACUUACCUUGUUACAAACAAGCGGAUACAGCUCAUCCUUAGGAGCCGUAUUCAGUAGAUCCUUUCGAAGUGAAUCGCUCCGGCAUUCUUUAUUAUAAACUCUUGACAGCAAUUCGUUACUAGAUGGAAAUGCAACUUUUGUAUAUAGUAAAUCUUUGCUGGUGAUAUCGAUGUGGCAAUAUUGUGGAGGAACAGAUUUCAAGGGGCUACAAAGUCAUAUGUUAUUUAUUGACUAGCUCGGAGCAGGUGAGCGGGCCAUAGAGGGUUGGUUGCGUAAGCUAACUGCUAACUAUAGUAAAUCUUGAUAUAGAGUAGAAUAGGUCUUUGAUAGUUGAUAGAAUAAUAAUAUUAAAUAAAAAUCAAUUGUAUAUGUUAAAAUAAAAGCAG
Molecule: small RNA, 621 nt
Filed under: Histoplasma capsulatum var. duboisii H88
Lineage: Eukaryota; Fungi; Ascomycota; Eurotiomycetes; Onygenales; Ajellomycetaceae
Description: Histoplasma capsulatum H88 hypothetical RNA
Source: RNAcentral